Molecule: long non-coding RNA, 341 nt
Filed under: Panax ginseng (ginseng)
Lineage: Eukaryota; Viridiplantae; Streptophyta; Magnoliopsida; Apiales; Araliaceae
Description: long non-coding RNA (PGIN_LNC010969)
Source: RNAcentral
GAUUAGGAUUUACUCGAUCAUUGUUGAUAGUAUUCAUUAUCGAUUUGGCACGGUCACCAUGCACAAAAUUAUUACUCUUUAAGUUAGACUUCCAAUCUCUCCACCUAUUGUUCAUGAUAGCCAUCAGUUUUCUUUUAGCAUUGGGGUGAUCUGAGGUAAAUCGUUUCUACAACAAACAAAUUUACACAUAUAUUAAAUUACCUUCAAAGUUUUUAAUGUCAAAUUCUAUAAAAUGCUAUUGAUUAAUAACCUGAAUUUCAUCCCAAGCCCUUGUCAUGUUAGCCUUUGUCAUAUUGGACCAUGUUGGAGUACUUAUUGGAAAAAAUUCUCCAUUGCGAGCA